This 565-nucleotide ribosomal RNA is filed under the name Streptomyces sp. 384F06. Its description in RNAcentral is "bacterial SSU rRNA". It matches the Rfam family "Bacterial small subunit ribosomal RNA", at positions 93 to 671 of the family's 1533-position model. Lineage: Bacteria; Bacillati; Actinomycetota; Actinomycetes; Kitasatosporales; Streptomycetaceae. The record is from RNAcentral.
UAGUGGCGAACGGGUGAGUAACACGUGGGCAAUCUGCCCUUCACUCUGGGACAAGCCCUGGAAACGGGGUCUAAUACCGGAUAACACCGGCUUCCGCAUGGGGGCUGGUUAAAAGCUCCGGCGGUGAAGGAUGAGCCCGCGGCCUAUCAGCUUGUUGGUGGGGUAAUGGCCUACCAAGGCGACGACGGGUAGCCGGCCUGAGAGGGCGACCGGCCACACUGGGACUGAGACACGGCCCAGACUCCUACGGGAGGCAGCAGUGGGGAAUAUUGCACAAUGGGCGAAAGCCUGAUGCAGCGACGCCGCGUGAGGGAUGACGGCCUUCGGGUUGUAAACCUCUUUCAGCAGGGAAGAAGCGAAAGUGACGGUACCUGCAGAAGAAGCGCCGGCUAACUACGUGCCAGCAGCCGCGGUAAUACGUAGGGCGCAAGCGUUGUCCGGAAUUAUUGGGCGUAAAGAGCUCGUAGGCGGCUUGUCACGUCGGGUGUGAAAGCCCNGGGGCUUAACCCCGGGUCUGCAUCCGAUACGGNCAGGCUAGAGUGUGGUAGGGGAGAUCGGAAUUCCU